UGCCAGCAGCCGCGGUAAUACGAGGGAUGCAAGCGUUAUCCGGAAUUAUUGGGUUUAAAGGGUCCGCAGGCUGUUUGUUAAGUCGGGGGUGAAAUCCUACCGCUCAACGGUAGAACUGCCUUUGAUACAGGCAAACUUGAGUUAUUGUGAAGUAAUUAGAAUGUGUAGUGUAGCGGUGAAAUGCAUAGAUAUUACACAGAAUACCGAUUGCGAAAGCAGAUUACUAACAAUUAACUGACGCUGAGGGACGAAAGCGUGGGUAGCGAACAGGAUUAGAUA
Molecule: ribosomal RNA, 279 nt
Filed under: uncultured bacterium
Lineage: Bacteria
Description: partial 16S ribosomal RNA
Rfam family: Bacterial small subunit ribosomal RNA
Source: RNAcentral